AUCCUUUGGUUCAUAAUGUGAUGACUGGGUGUUUGUGCUGCGUGCAUGAGAUGUGUGUCCCGCAAGCCUUGUUACGAUGUGGGUACAUUACCUGUCUGACC
Small nucleolar RNA from Octodon degus (degu), 101 nucleotides. RefSeq annotates it as small nucleolar RNA U13. The record is from RefSeq and is a predicted model, not a curated record. Lineage: Eukaryota; Metazoa; Chordata; Mammalia; Rodentia; Octodontidae. The transcript has a single exon.